GAUGCUAAGACGGCCUGUACCUAGCGCCCGAAGACA
RNAcentral lists this transfer RNA (36 nucleotides) under Crinifer piscator (western grey plantain-eater). RNAcentral's name for it is "partial tRNA-Phe". Lineage: Eukaryota; Metazoa; Chordata; Aves; Musophagiformes; Musophagidae. The record is from RNAcentral.